Molecule: ribosomal RNA, 253 nt
Filed under: uncultured bacterium
Lineage: Bacteria
Description: partial 16S ribosomal RNA
Rfam family: Bacterial small subunit ribosomal RNA
Source: RNAcentral
UACGGAGGAUGCAAGCGUUAUCCGGAAUGAUUGGGCGUAAAGCGUCCGCAGGCGGCAGUUCAAGUCUGCUGUCAAAGACCGGGGCUUAACUUCGGAAAGGCAGUGGAAACUGAACAGCUAGAGUAUGGUAGGGGCAGAGGGAAUUCCUGGUGUAGCGGUGAAAUGCGUAGAUAUCAGGAAGAACAUCGGUGGCGAAGGCGCUCUGCUGGACCAUAACUGACACUCAGGGACGAAAGCUAGGGGAGCGAAUGGG